Molecule: ribosomal RNA, 253 nt
Filed under: uncultured bacterium
Lineage: Bacteria
Description: partial 16S ribosomal RNA
Rfam family: Bacterial small subunit ribosomal RNA
Source: RNAcentral
UACGUAGGUGGCAAGCGUUGUCCGGAAUUAUUGGGCGUAGAGCGCGCGCAGGCGGCCUGUUAAGUCUGAUGUGAAAGCCCCCGGCUCAACCGGGGAAGGUCAUUGGAAACUGAUAGGCUUGAGUACAGAAGAGGAAAGCGGAAUUCCACGUGUAGCGGUGAAAUGCGUAGAGAUGUGGAGGAACACCAGUGGCGAAGGCGGCUUUCUGGUCUGUAACUGACGCUGAGGCGCGAAAGCGUGGGGAGCAAACAGG